RNAcentral lists this ribosomal RNA (452 nucleotides) under uncultured organism. RNAcentral's name for it is "partial 16S ribosomal RNA". It matches the Rfam family "Bacterial small subunit ribosomal RNA", at positions 329 to 798 of the family's 1533-position model. The record is from RNAcentral.
ACGUACACUCCUGCGGGAGGCAGCAGUGGGGAAUAUUGGACAAUGGGCGCAAGCCUGAUCCAGCCAUGCCGCGUGAGUGAUGAAGGCCCUAGGGUUGUGAAGCUCUUUCACCGGAGAAGAUAAUGACGGUAUCCGGAGAAGAAGCCCCGGCUAACUUCGUGCCAGCAGCCGCGGUAAUACGAAGGGGGCUAGCGUUGUUCGGAAUUACUGGGCGUAAAGCGCACGUAGGCGGAUCGAUCAGUCAGGGGUGAAAUCCCAGGGCUCAACCCUGGAACUGCCUUUGAUACUGUCGAUCUGGAGUAUGGAAGAGGUGAGUGGAAUUCCGAGUGUAGAGGUGAAAUUCGUAGAUAUUCGGAGGAACACCAGUGGCGAAGGCGGCUCACUGGUCCAUUACUGACGCUGAGGUGCGAAAGCGUGGGGAGCAAACAGGAUUAGAAACCCCGGUAGUCCCU